Molecule: ribosomal RNA, 253 nt
Filed under: uncultured bacterium
Lineage: Bacteria
Description: partial 16S ribosomal RNA
Rfam family: Bacterial small subunit ribosomal RNA
Source: RNAcentral
UACGUAGGGGGCAAGCGUUGUCCGGAUUUACUGGGCGUAAAGAGCGUGUAGGCGGCCACGCAGGUCCGUUGUGAAAACUGGAGGUUCAACCUCCAGCUGUCGACGGAAACCGUGUGGCUAGAGUCCGGAAGAGGAGAGUGGAAUUCCUGGUGUAGCGGUGAAAUGCGCAGAUAUCCGGAGGAACACCGGUGGCGAAGGCGGCUUCCUGGACCGACACUGACGCUGAGGCGCGAAAGCUAGGGGAGCAAACGGG